UGAAACUGUUCCUUUUUAUUUUUGGUUUUUGAAGUUUCUCCCGUCACUACAUUAAGUUUGUUUCUAUAAAUACUUUACCGUUUUAUUUUUUAAAAAACCUUCAUAUUUAAUUUUCAGAUAUGGAUCAGAUUAACAACAGUCCUUCAUUUCUAAAGCUUAUUGAGGAAGAUGACCCAAUACUUUUGCAAAUACCUAAUGACUUUGCUUCAAUGAUGUGGGGAGACCAACCACCUUACAAAGAAUCUGUUAAGAUUGUUGAUGGCAACAAGUUAUGGUUUGUAAGACUGAAAAAACUGAUUUGGGCCCUGUUUUUGCUGAUGGCUUCACCAAAGUUGUUCGGGAUAGUUGUAUAAGAAAAAAUGACUAUCUUAUGUUUCAGUCCUUUGGACCAUCAUCAUUCUUUCUUUCGGUGUUUAAAUCAUUUGUUCAUCAAAACUGCUUUAUAUCCAAAAUCACACCUGAGAAGACGUUAUUGUCAUGGCUGAUGAAUUUUGGAGGCAAUUUUAUGGGAAAAAUUUCAAAGGUUGUCAAUCAACUCUUUAUUUAAGAGAUAGAUUUUGGAACAUUAAGAUGGACAGAUUAACUGACAGUUGUGUUUUUACUCAUGGAUGUUCUGAGAUGGUAAACGAUCUUGCCUUAGACAGGCGAUCUACCUUUGUCUUUGCAAUGGCUGGAUAUAAAACUUUCAAGCUUUCAGUCUUUAAUCAUCAAACCGGUACUGAAAUUCAGAACAACAAGGUUGACUUAGUUGUUUUGGAUGACUCGAUCUAUGGUGAUGACGGUUAUGAUUUGGUUAUCGCUGUAAC
This is a long non-coding RNA of Helianthus annuus (common sunflower), 806 nucleotides long. RefSeq lists it as uncharacterized. The record is from RefSeq and is a predicted model, not a curated record. NCBI's taxonomy places the organism in Eukaryota, Viridiplantae, Streptophyta, Magnoliopsida, Asterales, Asteraceae. The transcript has 3 exons.